AAUGCGUAGAGAUCUGGAGGAAUACCGGUGGCGAAGGCGGCCCCCUGGACAAAGACUGACGCUCAGGUGCGAAAGCGUGGGGAGCAAACAGGAUUAGAUACCCUGGUAGUCCACGCCGUAAACGAUGUCGAUUUGGAGGUUGUGCCCUUGAGGCGUGGCUUCCGGAGCUAACGCGUUAAAUCGACCGCCUGGGGAGUACGGCCGCAAGGUUAAAACUCAAAUGAAUUGACGGGGGCCCGCACAAGCGGUGGAGCAUGUGGUUUAAUUCGAUGCAACGCGAAGAACCUUACCUGGUCUUGACAUCCACAGAACUUUCCAGAGAUGG
RNAcentral lists this ribosomal RNA (325 nucleotides) under Klebsiella pneumoniae. Its description in RNAcentral is "bacterial SSU rRNA". It matches the Rfam family "Bacterial small subunit ribosomal RNA", at positions 685 to 1009 of the family's 1533-position model. Lineage: Bacteria; Pseudomonadati; Pseudomonadota; Gammaproteobacteria; Enterobacterales; Enterobacteriaceae. The record is from RNAcentral.